AGGGUUUGAUCAUGGCUCAGAACGUACGCUGGCGGCACGCCUAACACAUGCAAGUCGAACGAAGUAGCAAUACUUAGUGGCAGACGGGUGAGUAACAUGUAGGUAUCUGCCCUUUGGCCUGGAAUAACACGAGGAAACUUGUGCUAAUACCGGAUAAGUCUUUACGGAGAAAGCUUUAUGCACCAUUGGAUGAGCCCGCACUUGAUUAGUUUGUUGGUGGGGUAAUGGCCUACCAAGACUGUGAUCAAUAGCUGAUUUGAGAGGAUGAUCAGCCACAUUGGGACUGAGACACGGCCCAAACUCCUACGGGAGGCAGCAGUGGGGAAUCUUGCACAAUGGAGGAAACUCUGAUGCAGCGAUGCCGCGUGAGUGAAGAAGGCCUUUGGGUUGUAAAGCUCUUUCGUCGGGGAAGAAAAUGACUGUACCCGAAUAAGAAGGUCCGGCUAACUUCGUGCCAGCAGCCGCGGUAAUACGAAGGGACCUAGCGUAGUUCGGAAUUACUGGGCUUAAAGAGUUCGUAGGUGGUUGAAAAAGUUGGUGGUGAAAUCCCAGAGCUUAACUCUGGAACUGCCAUCAAAACUUUUCAGCUAGAGUUUGAUAGAGGAAAGCAGAAUUUCUAGUGUAGAGGUGAAAUUCGUAGAUAUUAGAAAGAAUACCAAUUGCGAAGGCAGCUUUCUGGAUCAUUACUGACACUGAGGAACGAAAGCAUGGGUAGCGAAGAGGAUUAGAUACCCUCGUAGUCCAUGCCGUAAACGAUGUGUGUUAGACGUUGGAAAUUUAUUUUCAGUGUCGCAGCGAAAGCGAUAAACACACCGCCUGGGGAGUACGACCGCAAGGUUAAAACUCAAAUGAAUUGACGGGGACCCGCACAAGUAGUGGAGCAUGUGGUUUAAUUCGAAGAUACGCGCAGAACCUUACCAACACUUGACAUGUUCGUCGCGACUUUAAGAGAUUAAAGUUUUCGGUUCGGCCGGACGAAACACAGGUGCUGCAUGGCUGUCGUCAGCUCGUGUCGUGAGAUGUUGGGUUAAGUCCCGCAACGAGCGCAACCCUCACUUUUAGUUGCCAUCAUUAAGUUGGGCACUCUGAAAGAACUGCCAGUGAUAAGCUGGAGGAAGGUGGGGAUGACGUCAAGUCCUCAUGGCCCUUACGUGUUGGGCUACACACGUGCUACAAUGGUAUCUACAACAGGAAGCAAGACUGCGAGGUCAAGCAAAUCCUUAAAAGAUACCUCAGUUCGGAUUGCACUCUGCAACUCGAGUGCAUGAAGCUGGAAUUACUAGUAAUCGUGGAUCAGCGUGCCACGGUGAAUGCGUUCCCGGGUCUUGUACACACCGCCCGUCACACCAUGGGAGUUGGUUCUACCUUAAG
Molecule: ribosomal RNA, 1371 nt
Filed under: uncultured bacterium
Lineage: Bacteria
Description: 16S ribosomal RNA
Rfam family: Bacterial small subunit ribosomal RNA
Source: RNAcentral